CCUACGGGCGGCAGCAGUGAGGAAUAUUGGUCAAUGGACGAGAGUCUGAACCAGCCAAGUAGCGUGAAGGAUGACUGCCCUAUGGGUUGUAAACUUCUUUUAUAUGGGAAUAAAAUGUUCCAUGUGUGGGCUUUUGUAUGUACCUUAUGAAUAAGGAUCGGCUAACUCCGUGCCAGCAGCCGCGGUAAUACGGAGGAUGCGAGCGUUAUCCGGAUUUAUUGGGUUUAAAGGGUGCGUAGGCGGAUUGUUAAGUCAGCGGUAAAAGGCCGGGGCUCAACCCAGGCGAGCCGUUGAAACUGGCAGUCUUGAGAGGACGAGAGGUAGGCGGAAUUCGCAGUGUAGCGGUGAAAUGCUUAGAUAUUGCGCAGAACUCCGAUUGCGAAGGCAGCAUACCGGAGGGGAUCUGACGCUGAGGCACGAAAGCGUGGGUAUCGAACAGGAUUAGAUACCCUUGUAGUC
Molecule: ribosomal RNA, 459 nt
Filed under: uncultured bacterium
Lineage: Bacteria
Description: partial 16S ribosomal RNA
Rfam family: Bacterial small subunit ribosomal RNA
Source: RNAcentral